RNAcentral lists this ribosomal RNA (429 nucleotides) under uncultured bacterium. RNAcentral's name for it is "bacterial SSU rRNA". It matches the Rfam family "Bacterial small subunit ribosomal RNA", at positions 355 to 776 of the family's 1533-position model. The record is from RNAcentral.
UGGGGAAUAUUGGACAAUGGGCGCAAGCCUGAUCCAGCAACGCCGCGUGGAGGAUGAAGGUCUUCGGAUCGUAAACUCCUGUCAGGUGGGACGAAGGUAGGAGGGUGAAUAAUCUUCCUGCUUGACGGUACCACCAGAGGAAGCCCCGGCUAACUCCGUGCCAGCAGCCGCGGUAAUACGGAGGGGGCAAGCGUUAUUCGGAAUUAUUGGGCGUAAAGGGCGCGUAGGCGGCUUGACAAGUCAAAGGUGAAAUCCCUCGGCUCAACUGAGGAACUGCCUUUGAAACUGUCUGGCUUGAGGCCGGGAGGGGGUAGCGGAAUUCCCAGUGUAGCGGUGAAAUGCGUAGAUAUUGGGAGGAACACCAGUGGCGAAGGCGGCUACCUGGACCGGUUCUGACGCUGAUGCGCGAAAGCGUGGGUAGCAAACAGG